This is a non-coding RNA of Bacteroidetes bacterium MedPE-SWsnd-G1, 319 nucleotides long. NCBI's taxonomy places the organism in Bacteria, Pseudomonadati, Bacteroidota. The record is from Rfam.
GCAGCAGAUCGUCUUAUCGCUUCACCUUGUGUGAAGAGGAAAGUCCGGACACCAAAGAGUAGUAUAGCGGAUAACAUCCGUCGGCAUGGCAACAUGUUAGGACCAGUGCAACAGAAAGCAAGUACAGUUAGGCUGUAGUGAAACCAGGUAAACUCUAUGCGGUGCAAUGUCACGUAUAUUGAAGUCCCGAAAGGGUAAGAGUUACUCGCUCAAUUUCAAGGGGUAGGCAGAUGGAACUAUUGAGUAAUUGAUAGUCUAGAUAAAUGAUAAGAAUUCGUUUUUUCGAAUACAGAAUCCGGCUUAUAGAUCUGCUUUUUUU